This 465-nucleotide ribosomal RNA is filed under the name uncultured bacterium. Its description in RNAcentral is "partial 16S ribosomal RNA". It matches the Rfam family "Bacterial small subunit ribosomal RNA", at positions 28 to 507 of the family's 1533-position model. The record is from RNAcentral.
GAUGAACGCUGGCGGCGUGCUUAACACAUGCAAGUCGAACGGAAAGGCUCCUGCUUGCAGGGGUACUCGAGUGGCGAACGGGUGAGUAACACGUGGGUGAUCUGCCCUGCACUUCGGGAUAAGCCUGGGAAACUGGGUCUAAUACCGGAUAGGACGAUGGUUUGGAUGCCAUUGUGGAAAGUUUUUCGGUGGGGGAUGAGCUCGCGGCCUAUCAGCUUGUUGGUGGGGUAAUGGCCUACCAAGGCGUCGACGGGUAGCCGGCCUGAGAGGGUGUACGGCCACAUUGGGACUGAGAUACGGCCCAGACUCCUACGGGAGGCAGCAGUGGGGAAUAUUGCACAAUGGGCGCAAGCCUGAUGCAGCGACGCCGCGUGGGGGAUGACGGCCUUCGGGUUGUAAACUCCUUUCGCUAGGGACGAAGCGCAAGUGACGGUACCUGGAGAAGAAGCACCGGCUAACUACGUG